CUCCCCAUGGCUCCGGAGGAGGACUUGCUCUNUUCAAAAGAAAACAUCACUCCAUGGGAUGACAUCUUGAGUUCUUUCUAUCUCACAACAGUUUCUGGAGCCACUGUCCAUUUCCGAGGGUCCCUAGCAACUGCUACACCGUAAUUCCAGUGCUGUUCUAUUACAGAUGAGAAUUCUGUGUGAUAGAUAAAUGAUGAAGCAAUCUACAAAGAUCCUCCCAAUCUUAAUUAAGAAAUGACCAAAGGUAGAACACUGCAAACAUGUCAGGUGUAUUUUGAGGAAUGCUAAUCAAGUUCUUGUGGGUUCAUGUAACGCUGGUGUCACAAUCGAGGAA
RNAcentral lists this long non-coding RNA (334 nucleotides) under Salvator merianae (Argentine black and white tegu). Its description in RNAcentral is "lncRNA (ENSSMRG00000013526.1)". Lineage: Eukaryota; Metazoa; Chordata; Lepidosauria; Squamata; Teiidae. The record is from RNAcentral.